GGUGUCUAUACAUGCAAGUCGAGCGAAUGGAUUAGAGAGCUUGCUCUUAUGAAGUUAGCGGCGGACGGGUGAGUAACACGUGGGUAACCUGCCCAUAAGACUGGGAUAACUCCGGGAAACCGGGGCUAAUACCGGAUAACAUUUUGAACCGCAUGGUUCGAAAUUGAAAGGCGGCUUCGGCUGUCACUUAUGGAUGGACCCGCGUCGCAUUAGCUAGUUGGUGAGGUAACGGCUCACCAAGGCAACGAUGCGUAGCCGACCUGAGAGGGUGAUCGGCCACACUGGGACUGAGACACGGCCCAGACUCCUACGGGAGGCAGCAGUAGGGAAUCUUCCGCAAUGGACGAAAGUCUGACGGAGCAACGCCGCGUGAGUGAUGAAGGCUUUCGGGUCGUAAAACUCUGUUGUUAGGGAAGAACAAGUGCUAGUUGAAUAAGCUGGCACCUUGACGGUACCUAACCAGAAAGCCACGGCUAACUACGUGCCAGCAGCCGCGGUAAUACGUAGGUGGCAAGCGUUAUCCGGAAUUAUUGGGCGUAAAGCGCGCGCAGGUGGUUUCUUAAGUCUGAUGUGAAAGCCCACGGCUCAACCGUGGAGGGUCAUUGGAAACUGGGAGACUUGAGUGCAGAAGAGGAAAGUGGAAUUCCAUGUGUAGCGGUGAAAUGCGUAGAGAUAUGGAGGAACACCAGUGGCGAAGGCGACUUUCUGGUCUGUAACUGACACUGAGGCGCGAAAGCGUGGGGAGCAAACAGGUUAG
RNAcentral lists this ribosomal RNA (757 nucleotides) under Bacillus cereus. Its description in RNAcentral is "bacterial SSU rRNA". It matches the Rfam family "Bacterial small subunit ribosomal RNA", at positions 43 to 781 of the family's 1533-position model. The record is from RNAcentral. Lineage: Bacteria; Bacillati; Bacillota; Bacilli; Caryophanales; Bacillaceae.